UAGACCUUAAGUUAUAAAAACUGUGAACCUUCCAAGUUCUUCAAAAGGAUUUUUCCUUAGAUCUAA
This 66-nucleotide transfer RNA is filed under the name Bahadzia jaraguensis. Its description in RNAcentral is "transfer RNA Glycine". Lineage: Eukaryota; Metazoa; Arthropoda; Malacostraca; Amphipoda; Hadziidae. The record is from RNAcentral.